AACGAACGCUGGCGGCAUGCCUAACACAUGCAAGUCGAACGAGACCUUCGGGUCUAGUGGCGCACGGGUUCGUAACGCGUGGGAACCUGCCCUUAGGUUCGGAAUAACUCCCCGAAAGGGGUGCUAAUACCGGAUAAUGUCUUCGGACCAAAGAUUUAUCGCCUUUGGAUGUGCCCGCGUUGGAUUAGCUAGUUGGUAGGGUAAAAGCCUACCAAGGCGACGAUCCAUAGCUGGUCUGAGAGGAUGAUCGGCCACACUGGAACUGAGACACGGCCCAGACUCCGACGGGAGGGAGCAGAAGGGAAUCUGCACGAAUGAGCGAAAGCCUGACGGAGCAACGCCGCGUGAGGGAUGAAGGUCGUCGGAUCGUAAAACUCUGUUAUUAAGUAAGAACAAAGGUGUAAGUAACUAUGCACGUCUUGACGGUACCUAAUCAGAAAGCCACGGCUAACUACGUG
RNAcentral lists this ribosomal RNA (458 nucleotides) under uncultured bacterium. RNAcentral describes it as "partial 16S ribosomal RNA". It matches the Rfam family "Bacterial small subunit ribosomal RNA", at positions 29 to 507 of the family's 1533-position model. The record is from RNAcentral.